Molecule: ribosomal RNA, 212 nt
Filed under: uncultured Enterobacter sp.
Lineage: Bacteria; Pseudomonadati; Pseudomonadota; Gammaproteobacteria; Enterobacterales; Enterobacteriaceae
Description: partial 16S ribosomal RNA
Rfam family: Bacterial small subunit ribosomal RNA
Source: RNAcentral
CGCCGCGCGCGCGGCGGGCCUACGGGAGGCAGCAGUGGGGAAUAUUGCACAAUGGGCGCAAGCCUGAUGCAGCCAUGCCGCGUGUAUGAAGAAGGCCUUCGGGUUGUAAAGUACUUUCAGCGGGAGGAAGGGGUUGAGGUUAAUAACCUCAGCGAUUGACGUUACCCGCAGAAGAAGCACCGGCUAACUCCGUGCCAGCAGCCGCGGUAAUA